GACGGAGGGUGCUAGCGUUGUUCGGAAUCACUGGGCGUAAAGGGCGCGUAGGCGGCCUCAGGUGUCGGAUGUGAAAGCCCGGGGCUCAACCCCGGAGGUGCAUCCGAAACUCUGGGGCUGGAGGUCGGAAGAGGAGGGUGGAAUACCCAGUGUAGAGGUGAAAUUCGUAGAUAUUAGGAAGAACACCGGUGGCGAAGGCGGCUCACUGGUCCGGUACUGACGCUGAGGUGCGAAAGCGUGGGGAGCAAACAGG
This 253-nucleotide ribosomal RNA is filed under the name uncultured bacterium. RNAcentral's name for it is "partial 16S ribosomal RNA". It matches the Rfam family "Bacterial small subunit ribosomal RNA", at positions 524 to 776 of the family's 1533-position model. The record is from RNAcentral.